AUGUGAAGUGGCUUCUUUACACAUUUCAUCACCUACAAACGGAAGUAGUUAAUUCUGGAAGAGAUGAUCAAAAGAAUCAAGAGGCGAAUAUAGCUGGAAGGAAAAAAAAGUUCAAAGUCAAAACUGUAUUCUGGGAGUUCCCCUUGUGCCUCAGGGGGUUAAGGACCCACAUUGUCUCUGAGGAUGCGGGUUUGAUCCCUGGCCUCCCUCGGGGGGUUAAGGAUCCAGCAUUGCUAGAAGCUAUGGCAGAGGUCACAGAUGCAGCUUGGAGCCAGGGUGGCUGUGGUGUAGGCCAGCAGCUGCAGCUCCAAUUAGACCCCUAGCUUGGGAACUUCCAUAUGUUACAGGUGCAGCUGUAAAAAGAAAAACAAACUGUAUUCUGGUCUAAGGUGGGUUUUUUUUUUGUCUUAUUGCUAUUUCUUGGGCCGCCCCUGCGGCAUAUGGAGGUUCCCAGGCUAGGGGUCGAAUCGGAGCUGGAGCCACCGGCCUACACCAGAGCCACAGCAACAUGGGAUCCGAGCCGCGUCUGCGACCUACACCACAGCUCACAGCAACACCGGAUCCUUAACCCACUGAGCAAGGGCAGGGACCGAACCCGCAACCUCAUGGUUCCUAGUCGGAUUCGUUAACCACUGCGCCAUGACAGGAACUCCUAAGGUGUUUGUUUUACUGGCAAUCAUCCUGUCCACCUAUGAGCACAGGUCCUCCUUUCAAGAGACCUAGUUGUAGGUCCCUUGAAUUUUUUCUCACAGUACUAUUGUUAAAGUCUAUCUAGAGCUUCCCAUUCGAAAGCAAACAACUCUUUGGAGUCAAAACUCAAGGGUAGGCAAAACAAACCCCCAUCCUUUAACUCCAAUACAGGAAACCAACAAAAAUCUCCAAAGCAGUGAGCAGAGGUAUGAGUUUAGGAACCACUGGAUGAGUAUCUUAGGUGUAGCUGUCUUUGCUUGUCCUGGCUCCCCAUCCUGUCCCCUCAGGGCUGACCAGCUGCACUCCCUCUUCCAGAACAGUUGCAGGCUGUCUUUGGGGGUUGGAAGCACAGAGAUUGCCGUGGGCAAGCCUUCUAUUUUAAUGUGCUAUUUUAUGUCCAUUUACCCAGGUGCAGAGGCAACCCUGGUAUUUAACUUGUCAGUCUCCUCCCAGAAGGGGAAUGGCGCAUUCAGGCAGGUACAGAAAGCUGUGUUUUAUGGGUUUUUUUUUUUUUUGUCUUUUGUCUUUUUUAGGGCCACACCCACGGCAUAUGCAGGUUCCCAGGCCAGGGGUCUAAUCAGAGCUACAGCUUCCAGCCUACACCACAACCCCAGCAAUGCCAGAUCCGAGCUGUGUCUGCGACCUACACCACAGCUCGCGGCAAUGGUGGAUCCUUAACCUACUGGAUUGGGCCAGGGAUCGAAGCUGCAACCUUAUGGUUCCUAGUUGGAUUCAUUUCUGCUGCACCAUGACGGGAACUCCCAGAAAGCUGUGUUUUAGACUGGUUUCCCCAUCGGACAGUCUAGUGACUAGAGAAAGGGCUUUUUCAAUGUUUCUCCCCACACUCUAGUUACUAGCAGUCUCAGAGGAAGGUUUAGAGAGCCAGGUAUUUAAAAUGAAGAAAGGGACCCCCACCCUCAACAAACCAGAAAAUCCAAAAGUUGAUUUUCCUACAGUCAUAGUCACCAGGGGCUCCGUACAGGAGAUCCUGAUGGACUCCGUGGGGUUGAAAGCAACUCCUGGGCCCUGCCCUUCUUGGUCACUGUCCUUUUUGAUUCAGGCAUGUGGUGUGCCACCCAUUUACCUUCAAGUCUUACUAGGAUGGGACGCUUUUCUAGGCUUCCUAGAAAACGAUACGUACAUGGGCAGUCCACACUCUUGGACUUCCUACCUUUUGCUGAGCGCCUCAUGGGGGCCCUUGAUGGGGUCUGGCUCUUCUGUGUCAGGCAGCCACCAGCAGGGUG
This 1934-nucleotide long non-coding RNA is filed under the name Sus scrofa (pig). Its description in RNAcentral is "lncRNA (ENSSSCG00015003166.1)". Lineage: Eukaryota; Metazoa; Chordata; Mammalia; Artiodactyla; Suidae. The record is from RNAcentral.